GGGGUCAUAGCUCAGGGCUAGAGCACUUGACUGCAGAUCACGAGGUCCCUGGUUCAAACCUAGGUGCCCCCU
This 72-nucleotide transfer RNA is filed under the name Cricetulus griseus (Chinese hamster). It matches the Rfam family "tRNA". Rfam says of the family: Transfer RNA (tRNA) molecules are approximately 80 nucleotides in length. Their secondary structure includes four short double-helical elements and three loops (D, anti-codon, and T loops). Lineage: Eukaryota; Metazoa; Chordata; Mammalia; Rodentia; Cricetidae. The record is from Rfam by way of RNAcentral.